UUUUUUCACCACCGGAUUAGAAGAAGAUAGGGGCAGCGAGCGUUAAAACCGGCGGUGAUAGUGCUUUUCACAGUCGGUUGUUGGCUGAAACCAGUGGUGAAAGUAUCACCGCCGGCUCUUCCUACCACCUGCCAGAGAUAAUAGGCACGGACCCAAAAAAUAAAUUCAAUCCACUUAACUCACAUUUUGAGUCCAUCCCCAGGCCGCACGCCUCCCUCUCCCUCACACUAGGCUUCUGUCCCUCCCUCUCUCAUGCUUCCCACCUCCCCUCCCUCACUCCGUCUCUCACACCUCCCACCACUUCCUCCCUCCCUCUGCCUCCUCGGAUUGGCACCACCUCCCUCUGCCUCCUCCCCGCGCCGCCUCCCUCUACCUCCCAUGCAUGCCGGAUCCCCUCCCUUCCAGAUUUGGCACGGCGGGCCCCCGGUGGCUUGGGUAGCGUGUGGCGUGGGCUUGGGGCUCUAGCAUGAGCGGCGCGAGGAGCGGUGGCCACGGGCUUCCGGCGAUGCGAGAAGCGGCGGUCGUCUCCUCCCCUUCCAUUUCCGACCUCCCCUUCUCUCCCUCCCCUCUCCUCUCCUCCACUCGCCCCUCACCUCAUGCCUAUGGCGAGGAGUGGUAGAGGCGGCCAUUGGAGCAAGGAGCGGCGGCGGCCAGGGAGCUCGGCGGUGGCAAGAUCC
Molecule: long non-coding RNA, 677 nt
Filed under: Setaria viridis
Lineage: Eukaryota; Viridiplantae; Streptophyta; Magnoliopsida; Poales; Poaceae
Description: long non-coding RNA (SVIR_LNC005549)
Source: RNAcentral